UGGGGAAUAUUGGACAAUGGGGGGAACCCUGAUCCAGCAAUGCCGCGUGUGUGAAGAAGGCCUGAGGGUUGUAAAGCACUUUCAGUGGGGAGGAGGUUGAUUUGGUUAAGAGCUGGAUUAAUGGACGUUACCCACAGAAGAAGCACCGGCUAACUCCGUGCCAGCAGCCGCGGUAAUACGGAGGGUGCGAGCGUUAAUCGGAAUUACUGGGCGUAAAGGGUGCGUAGGUUGUUUUUUAAGUUAGCUGUAAAAUCCCUGGGCUCAACCUGGGCAUGUCAGCUAAGACUGGAAGACUGGAGUAUGGGAGAGGGUAGUGGAAUUUCCGGUGUAGCGGUGAAAUGCGUAGAGAUCGGAAGGAACACCGGUGGCGAAGGCGGCUACCUGGCCUAAUACUGACACUGAGGCACGAAAGCGUGGGGAGCAAACAGGAUUAGAUACCCGCGUAGUCC
RNAcentral lists this ribosomal RNA (449 nucleotides) under uncultured bacterium. Its description in RNAcentral is "bacterial SSU rRNA". It matches the Rfam family "Bacterial small subunit ribosomal RNA", at positions 355 to 796 of the family's 1533-position model. The record is from RNAcentral.